This 253-nucleotide ribosomal RNA is filed under the name uncultured bacterium. RNAcentral describes it as "partial 16S ribosomal RNA". It matches the Rfam family "Bacterial small subunit ribosomal RNA", at positions 524 to 776 of the family's 1533-position model. The record is from RNAcentral.
UACGAAGGGUGCAAGCGUUACUCGGAAUUACUGGGCGUAAAGCGUGCGUAGGUGGUUUGUUAAGUCUGAUGUGAAAGCCCUGGGCUCAACCUGGGAAUGGCAUUGGAUACUGGCGAGCUAGAGUGCGGUAGAGGAUGGCGGAAUUCCCGGUGUAGCAGUGAAAUGCGUAGAGAUCGGGAGGAACAUCUGUGGCGAAGGCGGCCAUCUGGACCAGCACUGACACUGAGGCACGAAGGCGUGGGGAGCAAACAGG